Priapulus caudatus is the source of this 1401-nucleotide long non-coding RNA. RefSeq lists it as uncharacterized. Lineage: Eukaryota; Metazoa; Priapulida; Priapulimorpha; Priapulimorphida; Priapulidae. The record is from RefSeq and is a predicted model, not a curated record. The transcript has 3 exons.
UCCAACGUUGACAACAUUCACCGUCCUGACUCCGCCAAGGACUACGCCCUGGUCGAAUGAAAGGCCCUCACUGCGCUCGACGGCAGUGGCGCCACCUACCACAGCGAUGACGAACUAACGGAACUGUCAUUGCCGUCGGACGCCGUGCAGCAGCAGCAGCGCACCAAGUAUCCGCAGUUCUGCACGUUGCCAUGGCUACAGAUCGCCCCAUGCAAGAUCUUGAGUCCGAGUAUCGCGUACAUGAACCUGCAGAGUCGGACGGAGGACACGGACACUUGCCUGGACAUGCGGCCGGGCCCCGCCCACCACCCUGCAGGAAUUUUUAACUGUCAUGACUUGAAAGGCUCCUAAUUGGAAGUAACACAAACCUGACUGCCAAUCGUCUCGUUGGACGUGCCGAGGAGAAUCAACACGACCCCAACCACGUAGCAGGAGAGUUACAUGUACACGCCUGAAGCUGGCUCGUGUUCGGAAAAUGCUACUCCUACUGAAUAGACAGCGUAUUAAGUGGAACGUUUCCUCGUAGACAGCUCUCCGACAUUGUGAUAUAUUUAUGUAUGACCGGCUGCAUUCCAAUUAUUAAACGCCACGAGCGUAUUUUCAACAAAACUUAAGUAUUCACCUCUAAACGAUGUGACGUUCAUUCUAUUUAUUUAUGUUUUUGUCAUUUAAUUAAUGUUAUUAACUAAUAAUGAAUUAAUUAAAUUGUUAGCGUAGCUAUGUGUUGGUAGUAACAGGCCAUCUAUUUAAUGUAAGCUGUGCUUAGAAACAUAGAUGGGCAGAUAAGCAGUUAGGUAGAUGGAUGGAUGGAUAUGGAUUGAUGGAUGGACGGAUGGGCAGAUGGCUAGUUGGAUAGAUUGGCAGAUGGCUAGUUGAAUAGAUGGAUAGAUGGCUAGAUGGAUGGAUAGAUAGGUGGAUGGAUAGCUAGAUAGAUAGAUAGGUGAAUGGAUAGCUAGAUAGAUAGAUAGGUGGAUGGAUAUAUAGGUGAAUGGAUAGCUAGAUAGAUAGAUACAUACGAUUUUGGUUAGUGCGUCUUCGGAAUAAUGCGUACGGUUCUCGGUGUGAGUAUACAGGUUAUAGCCUCCCAUUACCCUACAGUAUAUUAUGCCGAUAUUUGAUUUUCACAUGUUCUGGUUGACGUAUACUGAGUAUUUAUACUGAUAUAAUAUUGGAGAACGUUCCAUUAAUAACUAAGCCAUUUUACAGUACUACAAUACUAUGUACCUCUUGUGUUGUCAACUGUUAUCUAUUAUCUAUGUCAAAUGUACUUGGAAUCAUGCAAUCUCGCGUUUUACUUGUGCGUCUAUUUAUAAUAGCUUGUGAUUAGUAUUAAGUCCACGAGCAUGUGCAGUAGCAUGCGCGUUCAUGAUAUGGAUUAUAAUAAAUCUACGUUAACUAAAA